RNAcentral lists this ribosomal RNA (665 nucleotides) under uncultured Corynebacteriaceae bacterium. RNAcentral describes it as "partial 16S ribosomal RNA". It matches the Rfam family "Bacterial small subunit ribosomal RNA", at positions 1 to 666 of the family's 1533-position model. Lineage: Bacteria; Bacillati; Actinomycetota; Actinomycetes; Mycobacteriales; Corynebacteriaceae. The record is from RNAcentral.
AAUUAACCCUCACUAAAGAGAGUUUGAUCCUGGCUCAGGACGAACGCUGGCGGCGUGCUUAACACAUGCAAGUCGAACGGAAAGGCCCUGCUUGCAGGGUACUCGAGUGGCGAACGGGUGAGUAACAMGUGGGUGAUCUGCCCUGCACUUCGGGAUAAGCCUGGGAAACUGGGUCUAAUACCGGAUAGGAGCCAUUUUUAGUGUGAUGGUUGGAAAGUUUUUUUCGGUGUAGGAUGAGCUCGCGGCCUAUCAGCUUGUUGGUGGGGUAAUGGCCUACCAAGGCGGCGACGGGUAGCCGGCCUGAGAGGGUGGACGGCCACAUUGGGACUGAGAUACGGCCCAGACUUCUACGGGAGGCAGCAGUGGGGAAUAUUGCACAAUGGGCGCAAGCUGRAUGCAGCGACGCCGCGUGGGGGAUGACGGCCUUCGGGUUGUAAACUCCUUUCGCUAGGGACGGAGCUUUUUGUGACGGUACCUAGAUAAGAAGCACCSGCUAACUACGUGCCAGCAGCCSCGGUAAUACGUAGGGUGCGAGCGUUGUCCCGAAUUACUGGGCGUAAAGGGCUCGUAGGUGGUUUGUCGCGUCGUCUGUGAAAUUCCSGGGCUUAACUCCGGGCGUGCAGGCGAUACGGGCAUAACUUGAGUACUGUAGGGGUAACUMGGWA